AGAGUUUGAUCAUGGCUCAGGACGAACGCUGGCGGCGUGCUUAACACAUGCAAGUCGAGCGGAAAGGCCCACUUGUGGGUACUCGAGCGGCGAACGGGUGAGUAACACGUGAGUAAUCUGCCCUUCACUUGGGGAUAACGUCCAGAAAUGGGUGCUAAUACCCGGUACUCCCAUGCGGAUGCAUGUUUGUGUGGGGAAAGGUUUUUCUGGUGGGGGAUGUGCUCGCGGCCUAUCAGCUUGUUGGUGGGGUAAUGGCCUACCAAGGCUUUGACGGGUAGCCGGCCUGAGAGGGUGACCGGCCACACUGGGACUGAGACACGGCCCAGACUCCUACGGGAGGCAGCAGUGGGGAAUAUUGGACAAUGGGCGGAAGCCUGAUCCAGCAACGCCGCGUGAGGGAUGACGGCCUUCGGGUUGUAAACCUCUUUCACCAUUGACGAAGCUGCAUCUUUUUGGGUGUGGUGACGGUAGGUGGGGAAGAAGCACCGGCCAACUACGUGCCAGCAGCCGCGGUAAUACGUAGGGUGCGAGCGUUGUCCGGAAUUAUUGGGCGUAAAGGGCUCGUAGGCGGUUUGUCGCGUCGGGAGUGAAAACCUCGGGCUUAACUCGGGGCUUGCUUUCGAUACGGGCAGACUAGAGGUAUGCAGGGGAGAACGGAAUUCCUGGUGUAGCGGUGAAAUGCGCAGAUAUCAGGAGGAACACCGGUGGCGAAGGCGGUUCUCUGGGCAUGAUCUGACGCUGAGGAGCGAAAGUGUGGGGAGCGAACAGGAUUAGAUACCCUAGUAGUCC
This 789-nucleotide ribosomal RNA is filed under the name uncultured bacterium. RNAcentral describes it as "bacterial SSU rRNA". It matches the Rfam family "Bacterial small subunit ribosomal RNA", at positions 8 to 796 of the family's 1533-position model. The record is from RNAcentral.